This is a long non-coding RNA of Alexandromys fortis (reed vole), 1180 nucleotides long. RefSeq lists it as uncharacterized. The transcript has 9 exons. The record is from RefSeq and is a predicted model, not a curated record. NCBI's taxonomy places the organism in Eukaryota, Metazoa, Chordata, Mammalia, Rodentia, Cricetidae.
CCUCAGCCAUGCUUCUCCUCUCCUGGAGGCACUUCUGACUCCUGACCAGAGACCCCCCCAUUAAAUAAGGGAGCAGCUGUCACACUGGAUGACAGAUGGAAACAUGGAGGUUCCGAAAGGUAAAAAGGUACCUGCCCUAGGUCAUGCUGGGAGCAAGAGGCAGAGCCAGGACGAUGCCCAUUCUAACUCAUAAUCUGACAUUACCCGUGAAAUAUGCGGUGACUGAACACAGACAGGGGGUGACUAGAAAAUGAUCACGACUCAGGCAGACUGGCUUCCGACUGUAAACAUCACCGUCCACUUCUCUUCCCCACCUCCGCCUCCCCUUUCCCUCCCCCUCCCCCAAUCCAUUCCCCCUCCCUCGUCAGCCCAAAGAGCAAUCAGGGCUCUCCGUCCCGUGGGAAGUCCGAGGAAAACCCUCCUCCGUCCAGGUCUCAUAAGACCCAGGUCAGCUGGCCUUGGUGAGUUCCCGAUAGAGCAUCUCCAUUGUCCAGACAUCAUUUCUCUGGUCCCUACAGACUAGCGCUUACCUGUGCUAUCUUCUCUGCUGUGGAAGCUUCCGUUUUUCUCUUCAUACGCAUGCUUCCUUCAUUCCUCAGUGUGACCAAGAGCGACUUUGCUGAGCUGUGUGGUGAUGCUGAAGUUGCUUCAGAGAUGUUGUGCCACUUUGUCCCCAGCAGCAGCCUGCCAGAGAUCCAGCAGCCUUCCCAGAGUUUGGUCUCAGGGCGCAGAGUCCAAGGAAUGGGAGAUCCGUGCACACUGACAUGAAAAUGAUAUUUGGGUCUGGUGUGGACUCUGAGGCUCCGAAAGCCCACAGACUGAGACUGAGCGGCUAAGCCAAACUGAGCAGCUGCCAAUGUCAGGCUGGAUGUGAGAGCCUGGUCUGGCGAUCAGCAGACAUGAGCUUCAAGAUGCCUGCAGCCACCAGCUUGCAGGGUGACCUAGGGCAAGCUCCAGCCUCUUCUCAGUCUCCUCUGCAGCGUGCUUAAAGAAAGUUGUGUGGAUUCCUUGUGCUUGGAAUAUUGCAAAACAGAACACUGUCAUGACAUGGUCUGAGCCUUCUUAGAGGAAGCAGCCUGGUAUACAGGAUGUAAAUGAUGGAUUGCCUCCCUGACCCAGAGAUGUGCUUUGUGAAAUACAUUUCCCAAAUAUAAACUUUCUGUGCAAGUCACUGGCAUGG